Molecule: ribosomal RNA, 371 nt
Filed under: uncultured bacterium
Lineage: Bacteria
Description: bacterial SSU rRNA
Rfam family: Bacterial small subunit ribosomal RNA
Source: RNAcentral
ACGUAGGGUGCGAGCGUUAAUCGGAAUUACUGGGCGUAAAGCGUGCGCAGGCGGUUUGUUAAGUCAGAUGUGAAAGCCCCGGGCUCAACCUGGGAAUGGCAUUUGAAACUGGCAAGCUUGAGUAUGGCAGAGGGGGGUGGAAUUCCGCGUGUAGCAGUGAAAUGCGUAGAGAUGCGGAGGAACACCGAUGGCGAAGGCAGCCCCCUGGGCCAAUACUGACGCUCAGGCACGAAAGCGUGGGGAGCAAACAGGAUUAGAUACCCUGGUAGUCCACGCCCUAAACGAUGCUCACUAGGUGUUGGGGAAGCGAUUCCUUGGUACCGUAGCUAACGCGUGAAGUGAGCCGCCUGGGGAGUACGGCCGCAAGGUUA